RNA transcript from Erigeron canadensis, 1888 nucleotides. It is a transcript of the gene named protein APEM9, with no coding region annotated. The record is from RefSeq and is a predicted model, not a curated record. The transcript is spliced from 7 exons. Lineage: Eukaryota; Viridiplantae; Streptophyta; Magnoliopsida; Asterales; Asteraceae.
AGGGUCAGUUUGUCAGGUUAAAAAGUGUUUAUCCGAACCAAUUGUGAGAAGGACUCCCCUUUUUCCACAUCAUAACGAACCACCAUCCGAUUCUCCGGCGACCCCUUUUCCGGCCAUGUCAGCCACCACCGAAACAUCCGUCACAACCCACCCAGAUGUCACUGUAACUCCGGUGACAAGUGAGUCAAUUUGGCAAGAAAUUGACCUCUCUGAAAGCUAUCUUGUUUCUUCUAUGUUUGAAGAAGCAUCAUCAACCGCUUCACGUGUUCUGAAACGUUUACGUGAUGAACAAGGAAUUAUACCAGAUAUUGAACUCAAUGACAUGUUGGAGUCGGCUGGGAUGGUGUUUGUGCAGUCCUUAAAGGAACUUGGGAGAACAUCAGUGAUAAUGACAGAGUUGACACAGCUUUAUGGUUCACUCACUUCCAUUCCAGUCCAAGUUUUUCUUGCCGGGGCUUGUUUUCAGAUACUAGAAAACCCCGGUGGUGCUCAAAAGAUUCUUGAGGAAUUUUUGAGCCAGUGGAGCUUUGUUGACGAGCAACAUUAUGCUCUUGCAAGUCUAGAAGCAAAUACAUCUUACACAAAAGAUUCUAGUAGUAGAUUCUUUCUAGACAUUGAUGCAUACCUUCAAGUUGUUGAGGCUUAUAUAACACUUCUUAUGGGGAUUUUAAGAGGUACUGAUCUGGCCAUCUCAUGGGUUGAGAAAGCUGCAUUGCCUGAGGACAAACGGCAGGAAUUUUUACGGCGUUUACACUCCAUGUACUCUUCCAAGGAUACGGGAUCUCAAGCAUCAUCUUCACUAACAGAUGAGAAUAGUUCUGGGAAACAAGCUGGGAAACAACGUGAUGAGAAUGAUGCAGCAAAACAAGCUAUUUUGAGAUAUUCUGCGCAACAUGUUUCUACAUUUUGGUUGUUCCGAAAUGUUAAUUUAAAGUUUGGCAGUGUUCGAUUUGCGGUUUCAAAUGGAAGUAUCUUGUUGACAAUGUCAGUGCUUCUCAUUUAUUAUUUUUUGCGGAGGAAGAAGUAUACAAUAACAGGAAUUCUCAAUGCCAAGGCUUUGUUUGUGAAGAAAACCAUCAUAGACUUGUGGCAGCUUGCAUUCUCGUAUCAAGUGAAUCCAUUAGCAGCUGUUGAGUCUCUUCCAAAUCCUACUCGCAUAAGCCAUUAACAGCUCCUCUAUCUUAAAGUUAGCCUGCUUCAGUUGGUUAAGGUUAGUCUAGCCGAGAACUCAUCUUGUGUUACGUUAUUCAUUUGACUGCAUCUCUUCACAACGAGUAUUUUCUGGCGGCUAAUAGUGGUCUUAUAGCAAGAUCCAAACACCCCACCACCAAGAACCACCGCAGACGCCUUCAACAACUCUGCCAGGUCAAACCUUUCUGCGUCGUCUUUCAAGAAAGUUAGCUUCAGAGAUGAAUCAACUUUCUUGGUGUUGACUGUAGUUGCAGCACUGCCUACACCUUGCUCCAUUUGAUCAUGGUUGGAUGAAACUACGUUUCUAUAGGGUGGUACCUCAAUGGUUUCCUUUGAAGAUGGUCCAAAUUUUUGUAGGAUAAUGAAAGCUGUAGUGAUUGCUGCCAGGGCUGCAACGACCACUAACGCUACCAUGACGAUGGUAGCAGUAGGGAUCUUUGUCUUGCACUCCGCGAAUGGUGGUCCACAAAGCUCGCCGUUACCUGUUGUCCAAAGUAAAGGUGUAAAGAAUUGUGAAGUGAUAAACCAUAUACUUAUCAUGGAUUAUCAACUAAUGCAGCUUUUUGUAUUGUGUCUAGAUGUACAACUGUAUACUAUUGACUUGGCACCCUUCCUGUCCUAGCCAGAAAAAGGGAAAAUUUGAGAUUUCAUUUCUUUACUUUCCAACUCGAAAAGUUAAUAUUGCUCUCUUUCUUUU